Molecule: ribosomal RNA, 1199 nt
Filed under: uncultured bacterium
Lineage: Bacteria
Description: bacterial SSU rRNA
Rfam family: Bacterial small subunit ribosomal RNA
Source: RNAcentral
GUUUGAUCCUGGCUCAGAUUGAACGCUGGCGGCAUGCCUUACACAUGCAAGUCGAACGGCAGCGGGGACUUCGGUCCGCCGGCGAGUGGCGAACGGGUGAGUAAUGCAUCGGAACGUACCCGGAAGUGGGGGAUAACGUAGCGAAAGUUACGCUAAUACCGCAUAUUCUGUGAGCAGGAAAGAGGGGGAUCUUCGGACCUCUUGCUUUCGGAGCGGCCGAUGUCAGAUUAGCUAGUUGGUGAGGUAAAGGCUCACCAAGGCGACGAUCUGUAGCGGGUCUGAGAGGAUGAUCCGCCACACUGGAACUGAGACACGGUCCAGACUCCUACGGGAGGCAGCAGUGGGGAAUUUUGGACAAUGGGCGCAAGCCUGAUCCAGCCAUGCCGCGUGAGUGAAGAAGGCCUUCGGGUUGUAAAGCUCUUUCGGCCGGGAAGAAAUCGCAUGGAUUAAUACUCUGUGCGGAUGACGGUACCGGCAUAAGAAGCACCGGCUAACUACGUGCCAGCAGCCGCGGUAAUACGUAGGGUGCGAGCGUUAAUCGGAAUUACUGGGCGUAAAGCGUGCGCAGGCGGUUUUUUAAGACAGGCGUGAAAUCCCCGGGCUCAACCUGGGAACUGCGCUUGUGACUGGAAGACUAGAGUAUGGCAGAGGGGGGUGGAAUUCCACGUGUAGCAGUGAAAUGCGUAGAGAUGUGGAGGAACACCGAUGGCGAAGGCAGCCCCCUGGGCCAAUACUGACGCUCAUGCACGAAAGCGUGGGUAGCAAACAGGAUUAGAUACCCUGGUAGUCCACGCCCUAAACGAUGUCAACUAGGUGUUGGGAGGGUAAAACCUUUUAGUACCGUAGCUAACGCGUGAAGUUGACCGCCUGGGGAGUACGGCCGCAAGGUUAAAACUCAAAGGAAUUGACGGGGACCCGCACAAGCGGUGGAUGAUGUGGAUUAAUUCGAUGCAACGCGAAAAACCUUACCUACCCUUGACAUGUCCAGGAGCCCUUAAAAGAUUUGGGUGUGCCCGAAAGGGAACUGGAACACAGGUGCUGCAUGGCUGUCGUCAGCUCGUGGUCGUGAAAUGUUGGGUUAAGUCCCGCAACGAGCGCAACCCUUGGCGUUAAUUGCCAUCAUUUAAUUUGGGCACUUUACCGAGACUGCCGGUGACAACCCGAAGAAAGGUGGGGGAUAAAUUCAAGCCUCCAUGGCC